GCCUGGGUGGCUUAAUUGGUUAAGUGUCUGACUUUGGCUCAGGUCAUGAUCUCACAGCUCGUGGGUCCAAGCCCCGCAUCGGGCU
This 85-nucleotide transfer RNA is filed under the name Felis catus (domestic cat). It matches the Rfam family "tRNA". From Rfam's summary of the family: Transfer RNA (tRNA) molecules are approximately 80 nucleotides in length. Their secondary structure includes four short double-helical elements and three loops (D, anti-codon, and T loops). Lineage: Eukaryota; Metazoa; Chordata; Mammalia; Carnivora; Felidae. The record is from Rfam by way of RNAcentral.